CCUACGGGAUGCAGCAGUGAGGAAUAUUGGUCAAUGGCCGGAAGGCUGAACCAGCAAAGCCGCGUGAAGGACGAAGGUUCCAAGCAUUGUAAACUUCUUUUGUCAAGGGACAAAAUCAGGCUCGAGAGCCUGACCGAGGGUACUUGAAGAAAAAGCAUCGGCUAACUCCGUGCCAGCAGCCGCGGUAAUACGGAGGAUGCGAGCGUUAUCCGGAUUUAUGGGGUUAAAGGGGUGCGUAGGCGGACUGUUAAGUCAGCGGUAAAAGCCCGGGGCUCAACCCCGGCGAGCCGUUGAAACUGGCUGUCUUGAGAUGUCGAGAGGUAUGCGGAAUGCGCAGUGUAGCGGUGAAAUGCUUAGAGAUUGAGAAGAACUCCGAUUGCGAAGGCAGCAUACCGGCGGAGAUCUGACGCUGAGGCACGAAAGCGUGGGUAUCGAACAGGAUUAGAUACCCCAGUAGUC
RNAcentral lists this ribosomal RNA (459 nucleotides) under uncultured bacterium. Its description in RNAcentral is "partial 16S ribosomal RNA". It matches the Rfam family "Bacterial small subunit ribosomal RNA", at positions 338 to 795 of the family's 1533-position model. The record is from RNAcentral.